RNAcentral lists this ribosomal RNA (793 nucleotides) under uncultured bacterium. Its description in RNAcentral is "bacterial SSU rRNA". It matches the Rfam family "Bacterial small subunit ribosomal RNA", at positions 562 to 1346 of the family's 1533-position model. The record is from RNAcentral.
AAAGCGCGCGUAGGCGGCCAGAUAAGUCGGGUGUGAAAGCCCUCGGCUCAACCGAGGUUCCGCAUCCGAUACUGCUUGGCUGGAGUCUAGGAGAGGAGAGCGGAAUUCCCAGUGUAGCGGUGAAAUGCGUAGAUAUCAGAAGGAACACCGGCGGCGAAGGCGACUCUCUGGUCCGUAACUGACGCUGAGUGUGCGAAAGCUAGGGGAGCAAACGGGAUUAGAUACCCCGGUAGUCCUAGCCGUAAACGAUGGGCACUAAGUAGAGGGGUUCUGAUUAUCUCUCUGCCGGAGCUAACGCAUUAAGUGCCCCGCCUGGGGAGUACGGCCGCAAGGCUAAAACUCCAAAGAAUUGACGGGGGCUCGCACAAGCGGUGGAGCAUGCGGCUUAAUUCGAUGCAACGCGAAGAACCUUACCGGGGUUUGACAUGGUAGAAGUAGGAGCCUGAAAGGGUAACGAACGGUAUCCAGUCCGUGACUAUCACAGGUGUUGCAUGGCUGUCGUCAGCUCGUGUCGUGAGACGUUGGGUUAAGUCCCCUAACGAGCGAAACCCUUGUCUUUAGUUGCCAACAGGUCAUGCUGGGCACUCUAAAGAGACUGCCGUCGUCAAGACGGAGGAAGGUGGGGAUGACGUCAAGUCAUCAUGGCCCUUAUAUCCCGGGCUGCACACGUGCUACAAUGGUCGGUACAAAGGGAUGCUAAGUCGCGAGAUGGAGCGAAACCCAGAAAACCGAUCCCAGUUCAGAUUGGAGGCUGAAACCCGCCUCCAUGAAGUAGGAAUCGCUAGUAAUCGCG